Molecule: ribosomal RNA, 425 nt
Filed under: uncultured bacterium
Lineage: Bacteria
Description: bacterial SSU rRNA
Rfam family: Bacterial small subunit ribosomal RNA
Source: RNAcentral
GUGGGGAAUAUUGGACAAUGGGGGCAACCCUGAUCCAGCCAUGCCGCGUGAGUGAAGAAGGCCCUAGGGUUGUAAAGCUCUUUCAGAUGUGAGGAUGAUGACAGUAGCAUCAGAAGAAGCACCGGCUAACUUCGUGCCAGCAGCCGCGGUAAUACGAAGGGUGCUAGCGUUGUUCGGAAUUACUGGGCGUAAAGGGCGUGUAGGCGGAUGAUCAAGCUAGAGGUGAAAGCCCAGGGCCUAACCCUGGAACUGCCUUUAGAACUGAUUGUCUAGAAUCCGUAAGGGGAGUGUGGAAUUCCUAGUGUAGAGGUGAAAUUCGUAGAUAUUAGGAAGAACACCAGUGGCGAAGGCGGCACUCUGGUACGGUAUUGACGCUGAGGCGCGAAAGCGUGGGGAGCAAACAGGAUUAGAAACCCCAGUAGUCC